Long non-coding RNA from Cygnus olor (mute swan), 629 nucleotides. RefSeq lists it as uncharacterized. NCBI's taxonomy places the organism in Eukaryota, Metazoa, Chordata, Aves, Anseriformes, Anatidae. The transcript is spliced from 3 exons. The record is from RefSeq and is a predicted model, not a curated record.
AUUUCUUGUAGGCGCUUCCCAGGCAUUCAAGGAGGAAAAGAAAUCAAGUGGAUCCAAGCAUGAAGGCCCAGAUGUAGCUAAGGGUCAUACAGAAUCUGCUUCGAGUCCUGUUGCAGAAACAUUCAGAGUUAUUCAGGGAGCCAUCAGUAAAGAAUUUGUGAGAUCUACGCAGGGUGUCUUCCAGUUUGAAUUAUCUGGUGAUGACGGAGGCACUUGGUACAUCGACCUGAAAACCAAUGACGGGAGCGCUGGCUUUGGAAAGCCUCCUGUGACGGCCGACGUAGUUAUGAGCAUGUCGAGUGGCGACUUUGUGAAAAUGUUCACAGGUAAACUAAAGCCAACCAUGGCCUUCAUGUCAGGAAAGUUAAAGAUCAAAGGUAACAUGGCACUAGCGAUAAAGCUGGAGAAGAUGCUGACACAGUUUAACUCUAAACUUUGAGGGGAAAGCCUUCCUAACAGAACAUUGGCCUUCUGUGUAUAAUGAUAAUGCUGUUUUUAAAUGCUAGUCCUUUCUGAUGAAAUAUAAUACGUAAGAAUAAAAUGUGAGACUGUUAGAGGAGAAAUAACUGAGUCUGAUUAAGACUAGAAGGUGUUUGCCUUGAUUAAACGAAUUCCUUCUUGAGAACACA